RNAcentral lists this ribosomal RNA (406 nucleotides) under uncultured bacterium. RNAcentral's name for it is "partial 16S ribosomal RNA". It matches the Rfam family "Bacterial small subunit ribosomal RNA", at positions 28 to 526 of the family's 1533-position model. The record is from RNAcentral.
GACGAACGCUGGCGGCGUGCUUAACACAUGCAAGUCUAACGAGCGGCGGACGGGUGAGUAAUGUCUGGGAAACUGCCUGAUGGAGGGGGAUAACUACUGGAAACGGUAGCUAAUACCGCAUACCAUCAGAUGUGCCCAGAUGGGAUUAGCUAGUAGGUGGGGUAACGGCUCACCUAGGCGACGAUCCCUAGCUGGUCUGAGAGGAUGACCAGCCAAUGUGGAACUGGGACAAGGUCCAGACUCCUAUGGGAGGCAGCAGUGGGGAAUAUUGCACAAUGGGCGCAAGCCUGAUGCAGCCAUGCCGCGUGUAUGAAGAAGGCCUUCGGGUUGUAAAGUACUUUCAGCGGGGAGGCGUUAACCGCAGAAGAAGCACCGGAUAACUCCGUGCCAGCAGCCGAGGUAAUUC